Molecule: non-coding RNA, 244 nt
Organism: Pelobates cultripes (western spadefoot toad)
Lineage: Eukaryota; Metazoa; Chordata; Amphibia; Anura; Pelobatidae
Source: the annotation of a GenBank genome assembly
GUAAAUUACAUUUACAUAUCAAUUGAGCUGUGGAAUUGGCCAAUUACAACAUGGGAACAAAUUCCUUUAAAUAGAGAAGAUACUGACAUCACAUUAGACUAGGUUUGUAAGACACACACACCCUGCACACAACAUCUCACGGCACAUACACAAUGUAGCAGGUAUUAUUAGAUAGAUGGAAUGUUUGAGUGUUAUGAAUGUAUUGUAACUGUAAUACUAUAACUCUGUAACAUUCUAAUUCUGU